This 116-nucleotide ribosomal RNA is filed under the name Mergibacter septicus. Lineage: Bacteria; Pseudomonadati; Pseudomonadota; Gammaproteobacteria; Pasteurellales; Pasteurellaceae. The record is from RNAcentral.
UCUAGCGAUAAUAGUGCAGUGGUACCACCUGAUACCUUGCCGAACUCAGAAGUGAAACGCUGUAAUGCUGAUGGUAGUGUAGGGCUUCCCUAUGUGAGAGUAAGGCAUCGCUAGAU